CGUCUAUAUACGUAUAGCAUAUCAAUAAGCGGAGGAAAAGAAACUAACAUAGGAUUCCCUCAGUAACGGCGAGUGAAGCGGGAAGAGCUCAAAUUUGAAAUCUUCAAGGUUCUACCUUGACGAAUUGUAGUUUAAAGAAGUGUUUUCUGUUGGAGUUUUGGUAAAAGUUCUUUGGAAUAGGACAUCAUAGAGGGUGAGAAUCCCGUAUUUGACCAUUAUUUCCAACUUUGUGAUACACUUUCAAAGAGUCGGAUUGUUUGGGAAUGCAGUCCAAAAUGGGUGGUAAAUUUCAUCUAAAGCUAAAUACUGGCGAGAGACCGAUAGCGAACAAGUACCGUGAGGGAAAGAUGAAAAGAACUUUGAAAAGAGAGUUAAACAGUACGUGAAAUUGUCAAAAGGGAAGCGUUUGACACCAGUGUUGUUUUCUCGAAAAUCAAUUAAAAAUGGCAGGAUUUUGUGUUGUAUUGACUUUAUCAGCUUUCUGCACUUUUUUCUUGUCUUUUUUAAUGCACUUUUCGUUUAACAAGUCAACAUCAAUUUCUUUUGUUGUAAAAGGGUCAUUGGAAGGUGGCUUUCUUUUCGGAGAAAGUGUUUAUAGCCUUUGACUUCUGCAAUCGGAGAGAUUGAGGUCUGCAGCGUAGAUCCUUCGGGGUUAGAUGCAUUUGUGCUAAGUUAUAGCCUUUCAUAGACAACUUGUUGACUAUGAUCAGUCAUGUAGCUUACUCGCUUAUGUCAUUUUACCUACGCUUAGGAUGUUGACGAUCAGCUGAGCGCG
This 775-nucleotide ribosomal RNA is filed under the name uncultured Neocallimastigales. Its description in RNAcentral is "partial large subunit ribosomal RNA". It matches the Rfam family "Eukaryotic large subunit ribosomal RNA", at positions 26 to 627 of the family's 3401-position model. The record is from RNAcentral. Lineage: Eukaryota; Fungi; Neocallimastigomycota; Neocallimastigomycetes; Neocallimastigales.